UCUCCGUAGGUGAACCUGCGGAGGGAUCAUUACCGAGCUCAUGCCCUACCGGGUAGAUCUCCCACCCUUUGUUAUUAUUACCUUUGUUGCUUUGGCGGGCCGCCGCGCUCCGGCCUGGCUACCGGCUCCGGCCGGUAAGCGCCCGCCAGAGGACCCCAAACCCUGAAUGUUAGUGUCGUCUGAGUACUAUAUAAUAGUUAAAACUUUCAACAACGGAUCUCUUGGUUCUG
This 230-nucleotide unclassified non-coding RNA is filed under the name plant metagenome. RNAcentral's name for it is "partial contains small subunit ribosomal RNA, internal transcribed spacer 1, and 5.8S ribosomal RNA". The record is from RNAcentral.